RNAcentral lists this ribosomal RNA (429 nucleotides) under Pseudomonadota bacterium. RNAcentral's name for it is "Proteobacteria bacterium partial 16S ribosomal RNA". It matches the Rfam family "Bacterial small subunit ribosomal RNA", at positions 355 to 776 of the family's 1533-position model. The record is from RNAcentral. Lineage: Bacteria; Pseudomonadati; Pseudomonadota.
UGGGGAAUAUUGGACAAUGGGCGAAAGCCUGAUCCAGCCAUGCCGCGUGUGUGAAGAAGGUCUUCGGAUUGUAAAGCACUUUAAGUUGGGAGGAAGGGCAGUAAGCGAAUACCUUGCUGUUUUGACGUUACCGACAGAAUAAGCACCGGCUAACUCUGUGCCAGCAGCCGCGGCAAUACAGAGGGUGCAAGCGUUAAUCGGAAUUACUGGGCGUAAAGCGCGCGUAGGUGGUUCGUUAAGUUGAAUGUGAAAGCCCCGGGCUCAACCUGGGAACUGCAUCCAAAACUGGCGAGCUAGAGUAGGGCAGAGGGUGGUGGGAUUUCCUGUGUAGCGGUGAAAUGCGUAGAUAUAGGAAGGAACACCAGUGGCGAAGGCGACCACCUGAGCUCAUACUGUCACUGAGGUGCGAAAGCGUGGGGAGCAAACAGG